RNAcentral lists this ribosomal RNA (300 nucleotides) under uncultured bacterium. RNAcentral's name for it is "bacterial SSU rRNA". It matches the Rfam family "Bacterial small subunit ribosomal RNA", at positions 496 to 795 of the family's 1533-position model. The record is from RNAcentral.
GAUCACUUCUGGGUGUCAGCGGCGGUAAUACGAAGGGGGCGAUCGUUUAUCUGAGUUACAGAGAGUAAAACGCAAGUAGGCGGACAGGUGAGUCAGGGGUGAAAGGCCAGAGCGCAACUCUGGAACUGUCUUUGGUACUGGUUGUCUAGAGUAUGGAAGAGGUGAGUGGAAUGCCGAGUGUAGAGGUGAAAUUCGUAGAUAUUCGGAGGAACACCAGUAGCGAAGGCGGCUCACUUGUCCAUUACUGACGCUGAGGUGCGAAAGCGUGGGGAGCAAACAGGAUUAGAUACCCGAGUAGUC